Molecule: long non-coding RNA, 756 nt
Filed under: Neodiprion pinetum (white pine sawfly)
Lineage: Eukaryota; Metazoa; Arthropoda; Insecta; Hymenoptera; Diprionidae
Description: uncharacterized LOC124214526, transcript variant X3
Source: RNAcentral
CGGUUUUCGAUACGUCGCGGUUAAGGCGUUGCGAGCCAGAGCCAAUGCCGUUCAGCAAGCGUGAUAAUUAACCGAGCAGGUUGGCGAAAUUCUUAACGCAGACUUUCGCAUGUUAAUGCUGCAGGCACGUCGCCGUGCGGAUUGGCUCGGCAUGGGACGCGGCUUCGGGAACCGCCGGUUCUGAUACGUGCCUCCGGGAAGUCGGACCCGUGUAAUAUACACCCAUGCACACACGAGAUGCAUAUGGAUAUCGCAGAGGUGAGAGUUUCCUGGACGUGUUCAACGCGCCACUUAUAUGCCGGAUCCCAAAUGUACGGGCACAAAUGGAGAACAUAUUAAGCAGACACUCGUUAUAUUGCCAUGGUCACUUGUAAAAGUUUUAUCGGCGUUCUCCAAGGGGAUCAAGACUUUGAUAAAAUGGUUUGAAAAGUAAACGAAUUGCGAACUCUUAUUGCCAAUUCGUUACACGUGUCAGCCCGCGAUUUCGCCCAAUGGUAAUUUAUUUUUAUUAUACUACGUAAUGUUUCCACUUGUUAAUGCCAAAUUUAUGUACAUUUCUUUUUUUUUUUGUCUUUAUUUUCAUUUGGCCAAGUGGAAACGCAACGAAUGAGAAACGACCGGAAAACCAUUGAUAAAUGUUGACGUAAGAUCAACUGAUUGAGCCAGGAAAAAAUUUACGAACUUCCUUUGGGAUCCAUUCCAAAAUAUCAAUAAAUAAACAUAAAUUAAGGACUCGAUAAAUCAACGUUUCAAAAG